RNAcentral lists this ribosomal RNA (465 nucleotides) under uncultured bacterium. RNAcentral's name for it is "partial 16S ribosomal RNA". It matches the Rfam family "Bacterial small subunit ribosomal RNA", at positions 338 to 795 of the family's 1533-position model. The record is from RNAcentral.
CCUACGGGUGGCAGCAGUGGGGAAUAUUGCGCAAUGGGCGAAAGCCUGACGCAGCGACGCCGCGUGAGGGAUGAAGGUCUUCGGAUCGUAAACCUCUGUCAGCAGGGAAGCACGGUCACUGUGCUAAUCAGCAGUGAAUUGACGGUACCUGAAAAGGACGCACCGGCUAACUCCGUGCCAGCCGCCGCGGUAAUACGGAGGGUGCGAGCGUUAAUCGGAAUUACUGGGCGUAAAGCGCUCGUAGGCGGUAUGUCAAGUCAAGGGUGAAAUCCCCGCGCUCAACGUGGGAACUGCCUUUGAAACUGGCAAACUGGAGUGUGUGAGAGGAUAGUGGAAUGCCAGGUGUAGGAGUGAAAUCCAUAGAUAUCUGGAGGAACAUCAGUGGCGAAGGCGACUAUCUGGCACAUAACUGACGCUGAGGAGCGAAAGCGUGGGUAGCGAACAGGAUUAGAUACCCCAGUAGUC